This 469-nucleotide ribosomal RNA is filed under the name Lactobacillus delbrueckii. Its description in RNAcentral is "bacterial SSU rRNA". It matches the Rfam family "Bacterial small subunit ribosomal RNA", at positions 938 to 1408 of the family's 1533-position model. Lineage: Bacteria; Bacillati; Bacillota; Bacilli; Lactobacillales; Lactobacillaceae. The record is from RNAcentral.
CAUGUGGUUUAAUUCGAAGCAACGCGAAGAACCUUACCAGGUCUUGACAUCCUGUGCUACACCUAGAGAUAGGUGGUUCCCUUCGGGGACGCAGAGACAGGUGGUGCAUGGCUGUCGUCAGCUCGUGUCGUGAGAUGUUGGGUUAAGUCCCGCAACGAGCGCAACCCUUGUCUUUAGUUGCCAUCAUUAAGUUGGGCACUCUAAAGAGACUGCCGGUGACAAACCGGAGGAAGGUGGGGAUGACGUCAAGUCAUCAUGCCCCUUAUGACCUGGGCUACACACGUGCUACAAUGGGCAGUACAACGAGAAGCGAACCCGCGAGGGUAAGCUGAUCUCUUAAAGCUGUUCUCAGUUCGGACUGCAGGCUGCAACUCGCCUGCACGAAGCUGGAAUCGCUAGUAAUCGCGGAUCAGCACGCCGCGGUGAAUACGUUCCCGGGCCUUGUACACACCGCCCGUCACACCAUGGA